UCUUCUUCUCUCUUUCUUCUUCUUCUCUCAUUCUCUCCUGUUCUUGCCGCUGAUGAGAAUUUUGUGAAACAAAUUCGAGUCUUUUGAGUUCGUUAUAAGAGGGGAAAUAUCAAGGAUUGAUAGAGAAUAUUGGUGUUGAUUCAAUUCUCGAAUUCAGAGUUCUCAGAAAAGUUAGUCGUUAUUAACGACGAUCGAUUCAAAGGAUGAUCCAGUGGAUUGAACAUCUCAAGGUAGGCGAGGCUUGUCAUCAAAAGAGUUUCAGAAACAGAUCAAGAUGCAUACGUCGCGAUGAAAGCUUCGAGG
This is a long non-coding RNA of Papaver somniferum (opium poppy), 303 nucleotides long. RefSeq lists it as uncharacterized. The transcript has 3 exons. Lineage: Eukaryota; Viridiplantae; Streptophyta; Magnoliopsida; Ranunculales; Papaveraceae. The record is from RefSeq and is a predicted model, not a curated record.